GUUCUUGUAGUUGAAUAACAACGACGGCUUUUCAUGCCGUUAGUCCUGGUUAAAGUCCUGGCGAGAAUU
This 69-nucleotide transfer RNA is filed under the name Gobionotothen gibberifrons (humped rockcod). Its description in RNAcentral is "tRNA-Glu". It matches the Rfam family "tRNA". From Rfam's summary of the family: Transfer RNA (tRNA) molecules are approximately 80 nucleotides in length. Their secondary structure includes four short double-helical elements and three loops (D, anti-codon, and T loops). The record is from RNAcentral. Lineage: Eukaryota; Metazoa; Chordata; Actinopteri; Perciformes; Nototheniidae.